UUUCCCGUUCUCUUUGUUGCUGUUUUGGCUCUAAGCAAAACUCCUUCUCUCAGAAGUAUAUUAUUUAUUAAUAAUUAAAGAAUUUUAUAAUCAACAUCAAUGGAUAACACGUCAGAAGAUGGUGAUUAUGAAGUUUCAGCGGAGAUGCUGAUUCAUGAGGACAUUGAUGACGAGAGAACACUCCAAGAGGAGGAGGAGAGAAUGGAGGAAGAGGGAGAAGGAGGAGACACUGAAGACGAACUGAUUGAUCUACAGAAGGUUAGGAAGGACUGUAAUAUUGAU
Amphimedon queenslandica is the source of this 282-nucleotide long non-coding RNA. RefSeq lists it as uncharacterized. The record is from RefSeq and is a predicted model, not a curated record. The transcript has 3 exons. NCBI's taxonomy places the organism in Eukaryota, Metazoa, Porifera, Demospongiae, Haplosclerida, Niphatidae.